This 465-nucleotide ribosomal RNA is filed under the name uncultured Klebsiella sp. RNAcentral's name for it is "bacterial SSU rRNA". It matches the Rfam family "Bacterial small subunit ribosomal RNA", at positions 338 to 795 of the family's 1533-position model. Lineage: Bacteria; Pseudomonadati; Pseudomonadota; Gammaproteobacteria; Enterobacterales; Enterobacteriaceae. The record is from RNAcentral.
CCUACGGGUGGCAGCAGUGGGGAAUAUUGUACAAUGGGCGCAAGCCUGAUGCAGCCAUGCCGCGUGUGUGAAGAAGGCCUUCGGGUUGUAAAGCACUUUCAGCGGGGAGGAAGGCGUUAAGGUUAAUAACCUUGUCGAUUGACGUUACCCGCAGAAGAAGCACCGGCUAACUCCGUGCCAGCAGCCGCGGUAAUACGGAGGGUGCAAGCGUUAAUCGGAAUUACUGGGCGUAAAGCGCACGCAGGCGGUCUGUCAAGUCGGAUGUGAAAUCCCCGGGCUCAACCUGGGAACUGCAUUCGAAACUGGCAGGCUAGAGUCUUGUAGAGGGGGGUAGAAUUCCAGGUGGAGCGGUGAAAUGCGUAGAGAUCUGGAGGAAUACCGGUGGCGAAGGCGGCCCCCUGGACAAAGACUGACGCUCAGGUGCGAAAGCGUGGGGAGCAAACAGGAUUAGAUACCCGAGUAGUC